RNAcentral lists this ribosomal RNA (301 nucleotides) under uncultured bacterium. RNAcentral's name for it is "partial 16S ribosomal RNA". It matches the Rfam family "Bacterial small subunit ribosomal RNA", at positions 509 to 807 of the family's 1533-position model. The record is from RNAcentral.
CAGUAGCCGCGGUAAUACGAACCGUCCGAACGUUAUUCGGAAUUACUGGGCUUAAAGCGCGUGUAGGCGGAUCGGCACGUCCGACACUGAAAUCCCCCGGCUUAACCGGGGAACGGGUCCGGAUACGACCGGUCUGGAGGGAGGUAGGGGGGUCUGGAACUUCGGGUGGAGCGGUGAAAUGCGUUGAGAUCCGAAGGAACGCCCGUGGCGAAAGCGAGACCCUGGACCUUUUCUGACGCUGAGACGCGAAAGCCAGGGGAGCGAACGGGAUUAGAGACCCCAGUAGUCCCUGUCUCUUAUA